GCUCUUAUCGUCUAGUCCGGUCCAGGACGCGGCCCUCUCAAGGCCGAAACUCGGGUUCAAAUCCCGAUGGGAGCG
RNAcentral lists this transfer RNA (75 nucleotides) under Candidatus Niyogibacteria bacterium RIFCSPLOWO2_12_FULL_41_13. Its description in RNAcentral is "tRNA-Glu". It matches the Rfam family "tRNA". From Rfam's summary of the family: Transfer RNA (tRNA) molecules are approximately 80 nucleotides in length. Their secondary structure includes four short double-helical elements and three loops (D, anti-codon, and T loops). The record is from RNAcentral. Lineage: Bacteria; Candidatus Niyogiibacteriota.